AGAUUCUAUUCUAUUUGGUAGUGAGAUAUACUAUAAUCUCUAUUAUAAUAUUAUCAAAACUCUUUUCGAUAGAUUGAAAUAAUUCUAAUUCUAUCUUUCGAGGAUCAUUGAUCAUCAAGACAGUGCUCGACGAGUCUCACAAUCCAUCAGUGACACCUAGCAGUAUGUAGUAGCAAUCUUAUAGAAUAAAAAUAUAAACUUUUAGGUAUAGUUAUCGUAUGAUUCAAUCUUUCUAUCAUGAGUUCUGACUUGAUGGAGGUCAUGGAGAACUCAUCAAAUCCCAUCAUCAGCUAUAUGCA
Molecule: long non-coding RNA, 299 nt
Filed under: Elaeis guineensis (African oil palm)
Lineage: Eukaryota; Viridiplantae; Streptophyta; Magnoliopsida; Arecales; Arecaceae
Description: long non-coding RNA (EGUI_LNC065361)
Source: RNAcentral